AAAGAAAUUCCCUGCAUAACUUGCCCAGCAGACCUGAAGGAUCCAUGUUUGCUAUGGUAAAGACGAAACCACUCAAUGGCUCGUCUCUUUAGCAGAUUAUGCGUUGUAUUAACCUGCAAUGGGGUGUGACCCGGGUUCGAUCCCUCUUGGGAACGAAUUGGUGAUUGGAGAUAUAAGGUGGAGUUUGGUGAAUGGAGAGAUAAGGUGGUUCUUGGAGUGGAUGGGGAACUAACUACUAACAUCUAACAUGACUUUGACCGAUCAAAAAAAAAAAAAAAAAAAAAAAAAAAAUUAAACCUGCAAUGGGGUUUUGCAUAUCAGGUGAAGCUCAAUCUGUCUCUCCUUGAAGGCAUUGAGGAUGACAUGGACUUCUGCUGCAAGCUCGCCAAAGAGGAAUCCGUGAUACUCCUCCC
RNAcentral lists this long non-coding RNA (413 nucleotides) under Salvia miltiorrhiza (redroot sage). RNAcentral describes it as "long non-coding RNA (SMIL_LNC000715)". The record is from RNAcentral. Lineage: Eukaryota; Viridiplantae; Streptophyta; Magnoliopsida; Lamiales; Lamiaceae.